Molecule: long non-coding RNA, 264 nt
Filed under: Populus trichocarpa (black cottonwood)
Lineage: Eukaryota; Viridiplantae; Streptophyta; Magnoliopsida; Malpighiales; Salicaceae
Description: long non-coding RNA (PTRI_LNC001285)
Source: RNAcentral
CAAGAAGUGGGGUAUUGGGCUGAGCUCAAAGCGAAGAAGGCUGCAGUUGGCUAACCGCAUAUGGAGCAACACAAAGGACAUUGACCAUGUAAUGGAAAGUGCUGCCGUUGUUGCAAAGCUGGUCAGAUUUGUAGAACAGGGACAAGCUCUCAAGGAGAUGUUUGGGCUUAGCUUUACUCCCCCGACCUCAAGCACAAAGCGAAGGUCUUUGGGAUGGACAUACAGCAAGUCAUCCCUUUUAUAGGCUUCUUUUUUGUGCCACAU